CCCAGCCAGCCACUCCGGGGACAUUCCCAGCUGCUCCAGGACUUUUUGGGGGGUGGAACGGGCAGCACCGAGGGGGGAGAUAAACCCCCUUCCAGCGGGGCCCAGCCCGCUCCCUUUUUUUGGUGGAGAAAGAUGCAGAAAGGGGAGUUAUAAAAGAAAAAAAAGCCAAAUCCAUCUGAGAAGGCGCCCGAGUGCUGAGCAGCCACCCCCAUGCCUCUGGUAUGUCGGGGAGGGGGGGACGGGCGGCCCAGUUUUGGGGUUAAAAUGUGAGCUAAGAGGCUGGGGGGGGGCUAAAGGCGCUGGCACACCAUCCCCCCCCAGCUGUGCACGCACAUCUGGCAGCCCCAGCCCUCCCCGGGCACCGGGGCUCCCAGCAGAUGCCCCCAAACCCUGGCUGUGCUGUGGGGAGGGCACGGGGGGGGGGUCCGGGCAGGUUUUGCUCCCCCUUUUCUGCCGUGGGCAGCCCCUGCCCCGUUGGCAUCAGUGGGAUUUGGUGCCAGAUCCAGGUGCCACCUCGCUGGGAGCAGGGACACCGGGCGAGAGCGCUGGCAUUAACGAUGGCAAAAAAUCUGGUGAGAGCCCUCCCUUCCCCUCGGCGCCAAAAAAAGGGGGGGCUUUGCCAGCUUGGAGGGUGGAGGAAGGUUCGGUGGUAACCCCAAAACCACCCUGAACCCCCCACUGACCCACCAAGGGGCACACGCUGCAUCCCUGGCUGCUCCCAGUGAUUUUUUGGGGUGCCCGUGAUGAUGGGCACGUGGGGGUGGGGAGCAUGAACCUCCACAUCCCCCCCCACCCCCUGGCACCACGGCGGGCAGCCGGGGCACAGGGGGGGCUGAGCAGCUCCGGGUUCUUGGCCUGGCGUGGGGCUGGGGGGAAUCCAGGCCCCCCCCGACCCUGCUGUGGGGCUGACUGCUCUCCCAGCACCCAGCCAGCCACUCCGGGGACAUUCCCAGCUGCUCCAGGACUUUUUGGGGGGUGGAACGGGCAGCACCGAGGGGGGAGAUAAACCCCCUUCCAGCGGGGCCCAGCCCGCUCCCUUUUUUUGGUGGAGAAAGAUGCAGAAAGGGGAGUUAUAAAAGAAAAAAAAGCCAAAUCCAUCUGAGAAGGCGCCCGAGUGCUGAGCAGCCACCCCCAUGCCUCUGGUAUGUCGGGGAGGGGGGGACGGGCGGCCCAGUUUUGGGGUUAAAAUGUGAGCUAAGAGGCUGGGGGGGGGCUAAAGGCGCUGGCACACCAUCCCCCCCCAGCUGUGCACGCACAUCUGGCAGCCCCAGCCCUCCCCGGGCACCGGGGCUCCCAGCAGAUGCCCCCAAACCCUGGCUGUGCUGUGGGGAGGGCACGGGGGGGGGGUCCGGGCAGGUUUUGCUCCCCCUUUUCUGCCGUGGGCAGCCCCUGCCCCGUUGGCAUCAGUGGGAUUUGGUGCCAGAUCCAGGUGCCACCUCGCUGGGAGCAGGGACACCGGGCGAGAGCGCUGGCAUUAACGAUGGCAAAAAAUCUGGUGAGAGCCCUCCCUUCCCCUCGGCGCCAAAAAAAAGGGGGGGCUUUGCCAGCUUGGAGGGUGGAGGAAGGUUCGGUGGUAACCCCAAAACCACCCUGAACCCCCCACUGACCCACCAAGGGGCACGCGCUGCAUCCCUGGCUGCUCCCAGUGAUUUUUUGGGGUGCCCGUGAUGAUGGGCACGUGGGGGUGGGGAGCAUGAACCUCCACAUCCCCCCCCACCCCCUGGCACCACGGCGGGCAGCCGGGGCACAGGGGGGGCUGAGCAGCUCCGGGUUCUUGGCCUGGGUUAAUUUUAAAUGAGAAACCUCAGGCCUGGCUUUGGGGGGGGGGAUUUUGUUUCCUUGGAAGCGGGAGCAGAGGCAGGAAAUGAAGAAAAGGCACGGGCCCCGCUCCCAAGUGUUUUCCCAAAUGCUGGAGGCAGCAGGAGGCAUUUCCUGGGCUGAGGAGCAUCCUCCUCCGUUGGCCACCACCGGAGCCACGGGAUGGGGCUUCCUGGGGAUGGAGAAUCCGUCCCAAAACGCUGCUCGGGGUGGAAAAUGGCAAAGAUCGGGGUGGAAAAUGGCAAAAAUCAGGGUGGAAAAUGGCAAAAAUCAGGGUGAAAAGUGGCAAAAAUCAGGGUGGAAAAUGGUAAAAAUCAGGGUGGAAAGUGGUCUCUGGUUGGGUCUUCCCUCCCCUUCAGGCUCCCACCCACCCUGACCCACCGUUGGGUCCAGCAGGUCCAGAGAGGGGAUUCUGCCACUUUACUCUGCUCUGGUGAGACCUCACCUGGAGUAUUGUGUGCAGGGCUGGAGCCCUCAAUAUAAGAAGGACAUGGACCUGAUGGAGAGGGUCCAGAGGAGGGCCACAAGGAUGAUCAGGGGGAUGGAGCACCUCUGCUCCGAGGACAGGCUGAGGGAGCUGGGGUUGUUCAGCCUGGAGAAGAGGAGGCUCCGGGGAGACCUAAUAGCAGCCUUCCAGUACCUUAAGGGGCCUACAGGAAGGCUGGGGAGAGCCUGUUUAGAAAGGGCUGCAGUGACAGGACGAGGGGCAAUGGCUUCAAGCUGGAGGGGAACAGAUUUAGACUGGAGAUGAGGAGAGGGUUCUUCACUGUGAGGGUGGUGGAGCACUGGAACAGGUUGCCCAGGGAGGUGGUUGAGGCCCCAUCCCUGGAGAUAUUCAAGGAGAGGCUCGACGAGGCCCUGGGCAACCUGGUCUAGUUGGGGGUGUCCCUGCUGACUGCGGGGGUCGGACUGGAUGGCCUUUGGAGGUCCCUUCCGGCCUGGGCAAUUCUAUGAUUCUAUGAUGGGCUUCCCAAAUUCACCUUGGGGGGGUGUAAAAAUCACAGCACCCCCUGGGUUGCUCUCUCCCCCCUCCCUCCAGCCUCAUGUUUUUAUCCCCGCAGCGAGACGAGGCGCAGAGGCGGCUUCGUGCCACCAGCCUUUGCUUGCCCAGCCGGGCUGCAGGCACCCAGGGGUGGCAACACCCUCUUUUUCCCCCCAUCCCCAUCUCCCAGAUGACCCACGCUGGCCCUGACCCAAGGAGGAGGAGGAGGGGGGGGGUUGGAAUUUGGCCCCGGCUGCGUCAAAGCCCGGGGCGUGCAGGAGCUGGCCUUUGCGGGGAGAGCGGCUGAGCCCGGCGCAGAGCUGCUGCCCUGCCAGACUGCAGAAACUUGAGCUCCAAAUCCAUAAUUCCUCUGGCACCCCGUGGUUAUUUGUGAGCUGCUGUGAGCAGAUGGAAGAGUUACAGAUAAAGCCAUCCGCAGCACGGGAGCCCUGCUUCGCCUUCCCCCCCCCCCACACAAACCGCGUAGGCAACGGCAAAAGGCAGGGAAAAAGGAAUAAAAAAAAAAAAGAGAAAAAAUUAAAAAAAAAG
RNAcentral lists this long non-coding RNA (3349 nucleotides) under Calidris pugnax (ruff). Its description in RNAcentral is "lncRNA (ENSCPUG00000016588.1)". Lineage: Eukaryota; Metazoa; Chordata; Aves; Charadriiformes; Scolopacidae. The record is from RNAcentral.